CUUUUGCCUCAGGAAGCUGAACUGGUCAGGAUUUGUCACCAUGGCCUGUGCCCUGCUCCUCCUGGUGCUGAUGACGUGCUGCUCAGGGGUCUGGUCACAGCCUGUGGUGACUCAGGAGCCUGUGAUGUCCGUGUCCCCAGGAGGGACUGUCACUCUGUCCUGCAGCCUGAGCACCGGAGCCAUCACCACCAGCAACUAUCCUGCCUGGCUCCAGCAGAAACCUGGCUCUCCCCCUCGGCAGCUUAUAUACAGCACCAGCAGCAGGCCCUCGGGGAUCCCCACCCGGUUCUCUGGGUCCAUAUCUGGUCAGAAGGCCGUCUUGACCAUCACGGGGGUCGAAGCCGAGGAUGAGGCUGACUACUACUGUGCUGUGUAUACUGGCAGCAACCCACUGCACAGUGAUAGAGCCCGAUGGGGAACUGAGACAUAA
This is a non-coding RNA of Alligator sinensis (Chinese alligator), 430 nucleotides long. NCBI's taxonomy places the organism in Eukaryota, Metazoa, Chordata, Crocodylia, Alligatoridae. The record is from the annotation of a RefSeq genome assembly.